AACGAACGCUGGCGGCAUGCCUAACACAUGCAAGUCGAGCGAGAUCUUCGGGUCUAUCGUCGUACGGUUUUGUAACGCGUGGGAAUAUUCCUCUUUGUACGGAAUAGCCUCGGGAAACUGGUAGUAAUACCGUAUGUUCCCUUUUGUGGAAAGAUUUAUCGCCAAGAGAUUAUCCCGCGUUGGAUUAGGUAGUUGGUGGGGUUAUGGCAUACCAAGCCGACGAUUCCUAGCUUGUUUGAGAGGAUGAUCAGCCACACUGGGACUGAGACACGGCCGAGACUCCUACGGGAGGCAGGAGUGGGGAAUGUUAGAAAAUGGGGGCAAUGAUGAUCUAGCCAUGACGCGUGAGUGAUGAAGGCAUUAGGGUUGUAAAGCUCUUUCAGCUGGGAAGAUAAUGACGGUACCAGAAGAAGAAGCCCCGGCUAACUCCGUG
Molecule: ribosomal RNA, 433 nt
Filed under: uncultured bacterium
Lineage: Bacteria
Description: partial 16S ribosomal RNA
Rfam family: Bacterial small subunit ribosomal RNA
Source: RNAcentral